UACAGAGGUCUCAAGCGUUGUUCGGAUUCAUUGGGCGUAAAGGGUGCGUAGGUGGUGCUGUAAGUCAGGUGUGAAAUCUCGGGGCUCAACCCCGAAACUGCACUUGAUACUGCAGUGCUCGAGGACUGGAGAGGAGAUUGGAAUUCAUGGUGUAGCAGUGAAAUGCGUAGAUAUCAUGAGGAAUACCGAUGGCGAAGGCAGCCCCCUGGGAUAACACUGACGCUCAUGCACGAAAGCGUGGGGAGCAAACAGG
Molecule: ribosomal RNA, 253 nt
Filed under: uncultured bacterium
Lineage: Bacteria
Description: partial 16S ribosomal RNA
Rfam family: Bacterial small subunit ribosomal RNA
Source: RNAcentral